Molecule: long non-coding RNA, 630 nt
Organism: Onychostoma macrolepis
Lineage: Eukaryota; Metazoa; Chordata; Actinopteri; Cypriniformes; Cyprinidae
Exons: 3
Source: RefSeq, a predicted model, not a curated record
ACUACCUUUUAAAAGGUUUACAUGUGGCUGGCUGUGUGUUCUGCAGUAGAGGGAAAUACAGUGUCCCUGUUGAAACCGGCACAUGUUCACACAGUCUCCCACACAGAGCUGAGCUUGCAGCAGACAGAACACUAUGAAUAUGCUUUACAACAGUUACGCUUUACAUUGGCCUACUUUAAUUUAUUAGGGUGAAGCAAGUGACGAAGACACCCUCUCUGUGUGUUCUGAAACCAUUGCUGAGGUGAAUGCAUUUGUUUUUUAUGGCACACAUUUUAAUGUCACACAAAUGUGACUGGCCCUUAUUUUUUAUUGUAGGAUUUUUCACAACCUGCCCCACAAACUGAUGCCUCUACCUCAAUGGGCUUCAGAAGGAAUGUGAACAAGGUGGAAACUGACUCAGUCAGGGCCCUUUACAAAAGGAGCCUAGAAUUGGACUGCACACUAAAGGAGCUGGACUGUGAGCUGAGGAGCCUCCAAAUUAAAAAAAUUAAAUUGGAGAUCAAACAGCUGGAAAAACAGAUCUCACCACAUCAACAAUAAAACCAUUUGAGACCUAUCUGCAGUUUCAAUGUGCUUUUAUUAAGUAAAAUAUUGUAUGGUGACUGCAUCUCUGACAGCUGCGCCAGCUGG